Molecule: ribosomal RNA, 253 nt
Filed under: uncultured bacterium
Lineage: Bacteria
Description: partial 16S ribosomal RNA
Rfam family: Bacterial small subunit ribosomal RNA
Source: RNAcentral
UACGGAGGGUGCAAGCAUUAAUCGGAUUUAUUGGGCGUAAAGGGCGCGUAGGCGGGGAGGUAAGUCGGGUGUGAAAUCCCUCGGCUCAACCGAGGAACUGCGCCCGAGACUGCUUCUCUUGAGUCCCGGAGAGGAAGGUGGAAUUCCCGGUGUAGCGGUGAAAUGUGUAGAGAUCGGGAGGAACACCGGUGGCGAAGGCGGCCUUCUGGACGGUGACUGACGCUGAGGCGCGAAAGCGUGGGGAGCAAACGGG